RNAcentral lists this ribosomal RNA (1425 nucleotides) under Microbacterium shaanxiense. Its description in RNAcentral is "16S ribosomal RNA". It matches the Rfam family "Bacterial small subunit ribosomal RNA". RNAcentral also lists the same sequence under 1 other name. Lineage: Bacteria; Bacillati; Actinomycetota; Actinomycetes; Micrococcales; Microbacteriaceae. The record is from RNAcentral.
GAGGGGCGGGGUCUUACCAUGCAGUCGAACGAUGAAGCCCAGCUUGCUGGGUGGAUUAGUGGCGAACGGGUGAGUAACACGUGAGCAACCUGCCCCUGACUCUGGGAUAAGCGCUGGAAACGGCGUCUAAUACUGGAUACGAACAAGAAUCGCAUGGUUACUUGUUGGAAAGAUUUUUCGGUUGGGGAUGGGCUCGCGGCCUAUCAGCUUGUUGGUGAGGUAAUGGCUCACCAAGGCGUCGACGGGUAGCCGGCCUGAGAGGGUGACCGGCCACACUGGGACUGAGACACGGCCCAGACUCCUACGGGAGGCAGCAGUGGGGAAUAUUGCACAAUGGGCGCAAGCCUGAUGCAGCAACGCCGCGUGAGGGAUGACGGCCUUCGGGUUGUAAACCUCUUUUAGCAGGGAAGAAGCGAGAGUGACGGUACCUGCAGAAAAAGCACCGGCUAACUACGUGCCAGCAGCCGCGGUAAUACGUAGGGUGCAAGCGUUAUCCGGAAUUAUUGGGCGUAAAGAGCUCGUAGGCGGUUUGUCGCGUCUGCUGUGAAAUCUGGGGGCUCAACCCCCAGCCUGCAGUGGGUACGGGCAGACUAGAGUGCGGUAGGGGAGAUUGGAAUUCCUGGUGUAGCGGUGGAAUGCGCAGAUAUCAGGAGGAACACCGAUGGCGAAGGCAGAUCUCUGGGCCGUAACUGACGCUGAGGAGCGAAAGGGUGGGGAGCAAACAGGCUUAGAUACCCUGGUAGUCCACCCCGUAAACGUUGGGAACUAGUUGUGGGGUCCAUUCCACGGAUUCCGUGACGCAGCUAACGCAUUAAGUUCCCCGCCUGGGGAGUACGGCCGCAAGGCUAAAACUCAAAGGAAUUGACGGGGACCCGCACAAGCGGCGGAGCAUGCGGAUUAAUUCGAUGCAACGCGAAGAACCUUACCAAGGCUUGACAUAUACGAGAACGGGCCAGAAAUGGUCAACUCUUUGGACACUCGUAAACAGGUGGUGCAUGGUUGUCGUCAGCUCGUGUCGUGAGAUGUUGGGUUAAGUCCCGCAACGAGCGCAACCCUCGUUCUAUGUUGCCAGCACGUAAUGGUGGGAACUCAUGGGAUACUGCCGGGGUCAACUCGGAGGAAGGUGGGGAUGACGUCAAAUCAUCAUGCCCCUUAUGUCUUGGGCUUCACGCAUGCUACAAUGGCCGGUACAAUGGGCUGCAAUACCGUGAGGUGGAGCGAAUCCCAAAAAGCCGGUCCCAGUUCGGAUUGAGGUCUGCAACUCGACCUCAUGAAGUCGGAGUCGCUAGUAAUCGCAGAUCAGCAACGCUGCGGUGAAUACGUUCCCGGGUCUUGUACACACCGCCCGUCAAGUCAUGAAAGUCGGUAACACCUGAAGCCGGUGGCCUAACCCCUUGUGGGAGGGAGCUUCGAAGUGAAUUCAUU